UACGGAGGGUGCGAGCGUUAAUCGGAAUUACUGGGCGUAAAGCGCACGCAGGCGGUUUGUUAAGCUAGAUGUGAAAGCCCCGGGCUCAACCUGGGAUGGUCAUUUAGAACUGGCAGACUAGAGUCUUGGAGAGGGGAGUGGAAUUCCAGGUGUAGCGGUGAAAUGCGUAGAUAUCUGGAGGAACAUCAGUGGCGAAGGCGACUCCCUGGCCAAAGACUGACGCUCAUGUGCGAAAGUGUGGGUAGCAAGCAGG
RNAcentral lists this ribosomal RNA (253 nucleotides) under uncultured bacterium. RNAcentral's name for it is "partial 16S ribosomal RNA". It matches the Rfam family "Bacterial small subunit ribosomal RNA", at positions 524 to 776 of the family's 1533-position model. The record is from RNAcentral.